GAGUUUGAUCGUGGCUCAGGACGAACGCUGGCGGCGUGCCUAAUACAUGCAAGUCGAGCGGAUCUUCAUUAGCUUGCUUUUGAAGAUCAGCGGCGGACGGGUGAGUAACACGUGGGCAACCUGCCUGUAAGACUGGGAUAACUUCGGGAAACCGGAGCUAAUACCGGAUAAUCCUUUUCCUCUCAUGAGGAAAAGCUGAAAGACGGUUUCGGCUGUCACUUACAGAUGGGCCCGCGGCGUCAUUAGCUAGUUGGUGAGGUAACGGCUCACCAAGGCGACGAUGCGUAGCCGACCUGAGAGGGUGAUCGGCCACACUGGGACUGAGACACGGCCCAGACUCCUACGGGAGGCAGCAGUAGGGAAUCUUCCGCAAUGGACGAAAGUCUGACGGAGCAACGCCGCGUGAGCGAUG
Molecule: ribosomal RNA, 412 nt
Filed under: uncultured microorganism
Description: bacterial SSU rRNA
Rfam family: Bacterial small subunit ribosomal RNA
Source: RNAcentral